This 545-nucleotide ribosomal RNA is filed under the name uncultured bacterium. RNAcentral describes it as "partial 16S ribosomal RNA". It matches the Rfam family "Bacterial small subunit ribosomal RNA", at positions 355 to 914 of the family's 1533-position model. The record is from RNAcentral.
UGGGGAAUAUUGCACAAUGGGCGAAAGCCUGAUGCAGCAACGCCGCGUGAGUGAUGAAGGUCUUCGGAUUGUAAAGCUCUGUCUUUUGGGACGAUAAUGACGGUACCAAAGGAGGAAGCCACGGCUAACUACGUGCCAGCAGCCGCGGUAAUACGUAGGUGGCGAGCGUUGUCCGGAUUUACUGGGCGUAAAGGGUGCGUAGGCGGAUGUUUAAGUGAGAUGUGAAAUACCCGGGCUUAACUUGGGUGCUGCAUUUCAAACUGGAUAUCUAGAGUGCAGGAGAGGAGAAUGGAAUUCCUAGUGUAGCGGUGAAAUGCGUAGAGAUUAGGAAGAACACCAGUGGCGAAGGCGAUUCUCUGGACUGUAACUGACGCUGAGGCACGAAAGCGUGGGUAGCAAACAGGAUUAGAUACCCUGGUAGUCCACGCCGUAAACGAUGAGUACUAGGUGUAGGAGGUAUCGACCCCUUCUGUGCCGCAGUAAACACAUUAAGUACUCCGCCUGGGAAGUACGAUCGCAAGAUUAAAACUCUAAAGUGAAUUGAC